Molecule: ribosomal RNA, 288 nt
Filed under: Triticum aestivum (bread wheat)
Lineage: Eukaryota; Viridiplantae; Streptophyta; Magnoliopsida; Poales; Poaceae
Description: partial small subunit ribosomal RNA
Source: RNAcentral
AUGAAGGCGGUGGCAAACCAACCAGUGUCUGUAGCUGUGGACGGAGGAGACAUGACGUUCCAAUUCUACUCUGGUGGGGUGAUGACUGGGUCCUGCGGCACUGACUUGGACCAUGGAAUUGCAGCCAUUGGAUAUGGAAAGACUAGUGAUGGCACGAGCUAUUGGUUGAUGAAGAAUUCAUGGGGCACAACUUGGGGCGAAGAUGGGUACUUGAGAAUGGAGAAAGACAUUGCAGACAAGAAGGGCAUGUGUGGUCUUGCCAUGGAGCCUUCUUACCCAACAAAAUAG